RNAcentral lists this ribosomal RNA (253 nucleotides) under uncultured bacterium. RNAcentral describes it as "partial 16S ribosomal RNA". It matches the Rfam family "Bacterial small subunit ribosomal RNA", at positions 524 to 776 of the family's 1533-position model. The record is from RNAcentral.
UACGGAGGGUGCGAGCGUUGUCCGGAAUCACUGGGCGUAAAGGGCGCGUAGGCGGCGCGGAUAGUCGGCGGUGAAAGCCCGGAGCUCAACUCCGGGUCGGCCGUCGAUACUUCCGGGCUUGAGCACUGUAGAGGCAGAUGGAAUUCCGGGUGUAGCGGUGGAAUGCGCAGAUAUCAGGAGGAACACCGGUGGCGAAGGCGGGUCUCUGGGCCGAUACUGACGCUGAGGAGCGAAAGCGUGGGGAGCGAACAGG